AGAGUUUGAUCCUGGCUCAGAACGAACGCUGGCGGCAGGCUUAACACAUGCAAGUCGAGCGCCCCGCAAGGGGAGCGGCAGACGGGUGAGUAACGCGUGGGAAUCUACCCAUCUCUACGGAAUAACGCAUGGAAACGUGUGCUAAUACCGUAUACGCCCUUAGGGGGAAAGAUUUAUCGGAGAUGGAUGAGCCCGCGUUGGAUUAGCUAGUUGGUGGGGUAAAGGCCUACCAAGGCGACGAUCCAUAGCUGGUCUGAGAGGAUGAUCAGCCACAUUGGGACUGAGACACGGCCCAAACUCCUACGGGAGGCAGCAGUGGGGAAUAUUGGACAAUGGGCGCAAGCCUGAUCCAGCCAUGCCGCGUGAGUGAUGAAGGCCUUAGGGUUGUAAAGCUCUUUCACCGGAGAAGAUAAUGACGGUAUCCGGAGAAGAAGCCCCGGCUAACUUCGUGCCAGCAGCCGCGGUAAUACGAAGGGGGCUAGCGUUGUUCGGAAUUACUGGGCGUAAAGCGCACGUAGGCGGAUCGAUCAGUCAGGGGUGAAAUCCCAGAGCUCAACUCUGGAACUGCCUUCG
Molecule: ribosomal RNA, 573 nt
Filed under: uncultured bacterium
Lineage: Bacteria
Description: bacterial SSU rRNA
Rfam family: Bacterial small subunit ribosomal RNA
Source: RNAcentral